CACACACACACAGUCAAACACACACAGUCAGAGACACACACACACAGUCAGACACAAACACACACACAGUCAGACACACACACACACAGUCAGACACAAACACAGUCACACACACACAGUCAGACACACAGUCAGACACAAACACAGUCACACACACACAGUCAGACACACAGUCAGACACAACCACACACACACUCACAAACACAGUCAGACACAAACACACACACACAG
This is a non-coding RNA of Pelobates cultripes (western spadefoot toad), 231 nucleotides long. Lineage: Eukaryota; Metazoa; Chordata; Amphibia; Anura; Pelobatidae. The record is from the annotation of a GenBank genome assembly.